CAGCCGCCGCGGGAAAACGUAGGUGGCAAGCGUUGUCCGGAAUUAUUGGGCGUAAAGCGAGCGCAGGCGGUUAGAUAAGUCUGAAGUUAAAGGCUGUGGCUUAACCAUAGUACGCUUUGGAAACUGUUCAACCUGAGUGCAAGAGGGGAGAGUGGAAUUCCAUGUGUAGCGGUGAAAUGCGUAGAUAUAUGGAGGAACACCGGUGGCGAAAGCGGCUCUCUGGCUUGUAACUGACGCUGAGGCUCGAAAGCGUGGGGAGCAAACAGGAUUAGAUACCCGCGUAGUCCCUGUCUCUUAUACA
RNAcentral lists this ribosomal RNA (301 nucleotides) under uncultured bacterium. Its description in RNAcentral is "partial 16S ribosomal RNA". It matches the Rfam family "Bacterial small subunit ribosomal RNA", at positions 509 to 808 of the family's 1533-position model. The record is from RNAcentral.